CCUCCUUACCUAAAAGUUGCGAGAUGCACUUGAUGCAGUGCCUACACAGAUAGUCUUGUCAUAGAGAGAAGAACGUAAAAAGUUAGCCUUAAUAAAUAAAGAUUUUAGAAGUCCUUAUUUAUUAGGGUUUUUUACUCUAAACCUGUUCUUUAACAAUUUGGAAAGCUGAUAUUAAGUAAUCAAAACUGAAAGAGUAUUGAUUAGAAAGACAUCGCGUAAGUGAUGAGAGAUUUAAUCAAGUAGCUACUCUAUCUGACAAAGAAGAAUUAUUUGCCACCGCAAAUGAUUCGGAUGAUUAGAAUUAUCAUGCAUACAACAGUAAGCGCAUUGUAAUGAUGUGGUUUACGUCAAACACCUGAUUAAAAAGGCGGGUGAUUGCGAGUUAUUGUUUCGAGGUGGAAAGUCAUGUCCCACUAAGAGGCAAUAGCGACGAUUUUAGGCUUAAGUAAGCGAGUUCGUAGAGCGCGCAGGCUAGGGUUAAAAGCAGGAGCUAUUUUGGGGUUGUAUGGGUUAAGUGAUUAAGCGUAUACGGUGGAAUGC
RNAcentral lists this unclassified non-coding RNA (540 nucleotides) under uncultured Alteromonadaceae bacterium. Its description in RNAcentral is "partial 16S-23S ribosomal RNA intergenic spacer". Lineage: Bacteria; Pseudomonadati; Pseudomonadota; Gammaproteobacteria; Alteromonadales; Alteromonadaceae. The record is from RNAcentral.